CGCAGGGCUGUCGCUGACCUUCAAAGGUCGUGCACGCCUGAGCAUCCUCACACAUCCAUCUCACCCCUUUGUGCAUCACCGCGUGGGUCUCCUUUUCACAAAGGAGCUCACGUUUUCACACAAAACUUGAUACAGUGUAGAAUGUUAUCUUUGCGGUCACACGCAAUCAAUACAACUUUCAACAACGGAUCUCUUGGCUCUCGCAUCGAUGAAGAACGCAGCGAAAUGCGAUACGUAAUGUGAAUUGCAGAAUUCAGUGAAUCAUCGAAUCUUUGAACGCACCUUGCGCCCCUUGGCAUUCCGAGGGGCACACCCGUUUGAGUGUCGUGAAACCCUCAAAGAUCCUUUUUAGACUUACUGAAAAGGAUUUUUGGACUUGGAGGUUCAAUGCUCGCCUUUCACCUUUGAAAGUGAGCUCCUCUCAAAUGAAUUAGUGGGGUCUGCUUUGCUCGAUCCUUGACGUGAUAAGAUGUUUCUACGUUUUGGAUUUUGGCACUGUUCCUUGGACGCCUGCUUCUAACUGUCUCACAGACAAUGGAUGGUGCUCCGGUUCCUACCGCCUAACGUCGGUGGGAGGCUGGACCCACGAAUGAAAACCUUGACCUCAAAUCGGGUGAGACUACCCGCUGAACUUAAGCAUAUCA
This 644-nucleotide ribosomal RNA is filed under the name Russula roseipes. RNAcentral's name for it is "eukaryotic LSU rRNA". The stretch from base 174 to 327 matches the Rfam family "5.8S ribosomal RNA". Lineage: Eukaryota; Fungi; Basidiomycota; Agaricomycetes; Russulales; Russulaceae. The record is from RNAcentral.